RNAcentral lists this ribosomal RNA (430 nucleotides) under Pseudomonadota bacterium. Its description in RNAcentral is "Proteobacteria bacterium partial 16S ribosomal RNA". It matches the Rfam family "Bacterial small subunit ribosomal RNA", at positions 355 to 776 of the family's 1533-position model. The record is from RNAcentral. Lineage: Bacteria; Pseudomonadati; Pseudomonadota.
UGGGGAAUAUUGGACAAUGGGGGGAACCCUGAUCCAGCCAUGCCGCGUGUGUGAAGAAGGCCUUAUGGUUGUAAAGCACUUUAAGCAAGGAGGAGGGUACUGGUAUUAAUACUACCAGGUACUGGACGUUACUCGCAGAAUAAGCACCGGCUAACUCUGUGCCAGCAGCCGCGGUAAUACAGAGGGUGCAAGCGUUAAUCGGAAUUACUGGGCGUAAAGCGCGCGUAGGUGGUUCGUUAAGUUGAAUGUGAAAGCCCCGGGCUCAACCUGGGAACUGCAUCCAAAACUGGCGAGCUAGAGUAGGGCAGAGGGUGGUGGAAUUUCCUGUGUAGCGGUGAAAUGCGUAGAUAUAGGAAGGAACACCAGUGGCGAAGGCGACCACCUGGGCUCAUACUGACACUGAGGUGCGAAAGCGUGGGGAGCAAACAGG